Molecule: ribosomal RNA, 460 nt
Filed under: uncultured bacterium
Lineage: Bacteria
Description: partial 16S ribosomal RNA
Rfam family: Bacterial small subunit ribosomal RNA
Source: RNAcentral
CCUACGGGUGGCAGCAGUGAGGAAUAUUGGUCAAUGGACGAGAGUCUGAACCAGCCAAGUAGCGUGAAGGAUGACUGCCCUAUGGGUUGUAAACUUCUUUUAUAAAGGAAUAAAACGAGGCACGUGUGCCUUUUUGCAUGUACUUUAUGACUAAGGAUCGGCUAACUCCGUGCCAGCAGCCGCGGUAAUACGGAGGAUCCGAGCGUUAUCCGGAUUUAUUGGGUUUAAAGGGAGCGUAGAUGGGUUGUUAAGUCAGUUGUGAAAGUUUGCGGCUCAACCGUAAAAUUGCAAUUGAUACUGGAAGUCUUGAGUACAGUUGAGGUAGGCGGAAUUCGUGGUGUAGCGGUGAAAUGCUUAGAUAUCACGAAGAACCCCGAUUGCGAAGGCAGCUUACUAACCUGUGACUGACAUUGAUGCUCGAAAGUGUGGGUAUCAAACAGGAUUAGAUACCCCUGUAGUC